AUCGUUUAACAACAUUUAAUUUAUAACACCUUUUAAACAUUUAGACAGAUUAACACAUAACACUUCUUAUAUAGAAACAUCAAUUCGAAGUUAUCAGCUUGGAGAAAUUGGUCGAUUAAUACCUGUAGAUUGUCUGUCUCGAUGAAAGACUUAAAGAGAGCAAAAACAUGAUAAUGCCGCUAAUAUAAUAUUCCUUCUUUCUUGUAUCUGUCUGCCUCUCAGGUCGUUUUACUAAUUACAAUAAGUAAUUUCGCCUUCUUUGCGCUCUCUUUUAACGCAUUCGAGACCGAAAGAAAUUCAUAUCAGUCAGUAGGCAAGGGUAUAAUAUACAUAUUUUAUAUAUAACUUAUGUAGUAAUGUAUAUAUCAUGUUAAUUUCAUAUUUUUUUCAAUAUAGAAUUAUUAUAUAUAUAUAUUUAACUGUACAUAAUACAUUAUAGAAUAACGUAGUAUAUAAUUUUAUAUUUUAAAAAUAUGAGGCAUACUAUUCAAGAUUGUCGUCGAUUUAAAAUCAAAGUAUGAAAAGGAUACCCUGGAGAGAGUAAAACACAGAAUCAUUCUAACUAAACAUUCAGAUCGUACCGACACCUAGGUAUCGUCUUACAAUUAAAUCUCGGUCUCGAAUGGAUUAAAAUGAAAUACAUACUUGCAGCUUCAACAUCUUCAAUAUCGAGGAGAUUCAAACUUUACAAAUAAAAGCGGCCUGUUCCCCUUUCCACGACAGACUCUCAUACCAUAUCCGCUCUUAUCCAGGCUUUUACUUGAAACCAGCAAUGCGUUCAUUUACAAUUUAAAUUUACCCGGACCAUCCACUGAAUCGUCAGCCCUUUACAAGAAAUGAGAGGGAACGUUCGCCCUUGAACACAUAAAACAAAAAAAAAAAAAAAAAAAUAGAAAAGGAAAAAAACCACAAAUUUUAGUGAAGCUAUUUUAUUGAAACUUAUUAUAUCAUUUUAACAGCUAUAUAUAAAACGUUGAAUUAUUUCCUUUCGCGCUGAGCAAUUUUAUUUCAAAUUUCUAGCUUCAGAAUGAUAAUUACGUAUUUGUAAUUAUCAACAAGCUUUAAAAAUAUGGAAUAUUCAGCCAGAUGAAAUAUAGGUAAAGUAUUUAGAAGAAAAAAGAUUGAAAUGUUUUAUGUAAAACGAUUAAAUUAAGUGGAAAACUGCGCUUCUUCCUGCUCCUCUACAUGGCGCUACGCGGGACUCGCUUCUGAGCACGUCUUUCUCGUUGGAGGCUUCUUCUUUCUUUUCUUUCCCAGUAGAAUUUUUGCACAAUUCUUUCUCCCUUUUAUCAUUAAAUUACCUCUAAUUCUUAACAAUCUUUAAUCUUUGUCUCUUCUUCCCUAUAUAUAUAUUUUUGUUUACUUUUCUCCGUAGCGAAUUUUGUCUUUCUGACGCAGGAUUAGGUUCCUGGACUUAGGGAGUUGCUACACGCCAGCUCCACCAUGGCGACGGCAUUCACUAGGCAGCCUACAUAGCCACCUUUCAGCUCACGCUUCGGGACACUUUUUUCGCUGAGAUUCUCCGCGAUGAGGCAUGAAAGCAGAGACCACCGUCUGCGGAGGCAUGAUUAUUCUAUUGUUCCUUUUAACGAGUAAUCGUUUUACUCGAGUCCUCUCACUAAACCGUAAGUACGAAAGACUAUUAUACUUAGAUAGGUACUUGGUCUCAAGAACCAACUUAUUUUGGUCUUUCGAUUAAGUUCUUAAUUAAAUGCUCAAUUAGAUAUUCCUAAAUAUAUCUUCAUAAUAUUUCCCUCAUCUAUUUCUUUGACAUUCUAGCAACCUCGUUAAGACGUCCGCCACUUCAACUUCUAUCUACAAGUGGCAAAAACUGAAGCUGACCUUCUUCAUGGAGAAACAUGCCGGAAAUGGCAUCCGCACGUGUGAAUAAUUAUACUCAGUGUCCAGGUAGUUCUUUCGAUCAUCCGAUAGAAGUCGUUUCUGUUUUUCAGAGUUCGUUCACGUCUCCAGAAUGUAAAAAUAUCCAAGGAAGUACCAUUAGGAAGCAAUGAAAUUCAGAGUUUCUGUGGUUAUUCCUUUUUCUGAUUGUUUCUUUUCUUUGCCCAAAAUGGAUGAUUUCUAUAUCAAAUUGUUUAUUCGUAUUUUUUUUUUAAUAUUCCUUGAGAUUUUCAAUCAACUCGAUUUCGAAUUUUUUAGCACCCGAUCUUCUGGUUGACGUCGUUAAGAAAGAGGAACGAGUGCACAGGAAGCAUGGUCGGCGUGAGCAUGAUUAGAUCCGGUCUGCCCGAUGACCUUGCCAGUGAUAAUAGCGGUUCGUUAAGGUGGUUGCAGUCUUGAUUUGCUUCUGUUUCGAUUUCCAGCGAACUCGUCAGCCGGCAUGGCUUCCGAGAUGCUCCCCCUGAAACAAGUCGAAGGGAAAUAAUUAAUGGACUCUCUGUUCGAUUACGGAACCAAAGAUUCUUAUCUGGUUUAUGGUGAGCUAAGGAACUCUUUGAAAACAGCAUUUAUAACUUUCGAAAAAGAGACAGGUAUUUCUUGCGCGAACAAUUGAAUAAUUAAUUCGUUCUCUAAAUAUCCUUAUUUGUUGUUCCUAAAAUACAUAAUGAUUGGAAGCUUCUUACGGGAAGCGCAAUCAGCCGCUGAUAUCAUUGAAGUCGAAACGCCAUUAAAACCAUAUUACGAUUCGCAUGCGACAUGCUCCAUUCAUGAAAACACAAAAGCAAUAAACAAGUACAAAUCAACGAAAUAAAUCCUCCGAGAACGAGACGUUACAGGAAUUAUACCAUUGCGAGGAUACAAAAGACUUGCUCAUGAGCUACUUCCUUCAAGUAGUCGAGCGGUGUAUUUUCCGGUCGUUAACUUCCAUAUAAUGGGAUAUUAAAGAGUACGGACACAACGCUGCUAUUUUUCAACUAUUCAUUAUCAAAUUACGCAGCGGGAAUCGUUGCAACGACAAAACUGUAACGACUCGUACCUGCGUAUCUUCCAUUUAGCUGCGGUAAACGCUGACUUGUCUGCGUUUUUUUUUUUCACUUCCUCGUUACGGAAACCAGGAAAAGUGAUUCACAAUACAGUUUCUAACUGUACUUCUCGCGAUUCUUUCUUAGAAACAAGCAAUUGCUUCUUUUCAAUUUCCUAAAUCUAUAAUAAAACAGUCCAUUCCUUGAAUAGAAAUUAACUUUAAAACUUUAGGCGCAUACAUUGUACGUAUCGUAUGUAUGUAUUUUGAUUUGAAAAGAAACGCGGCAAACGCCUUUGAAAAGACGUUAGGUUUUCAACACCUUAACUAACUUAAUUCCAGCGAGUUGCAAAUCUGCUGCAUCUCCAACAUCUGAAUAUCAAUCUUUUACAAUGA
Long non-coding RNA from Bombus huntii, 3316 nucleotides. RefSeq lists it as uncharacterized. NCBI's taxonomy places the organism in Eukaryota, Metazoa, Arthropoda, Insecta, Hymenoptera, Apidae. The record is from RefSeq and is a predicted model, not a curated record. The transcript is spliced from 2 exons.